UGUGUAUAGGUGUUUAGCAUUAAAAAUUUUGAAUUUUUAGGAUUAAUUAAAUUUAAAUUACACAA
Molecule: transfer RNA, 65 nt
Filed under: Tigriopus kingsejongensis
Lineage: Eukaryota; Metazoa; Arthropoda; Copepoda; Harpacticoida; Harpacticidae
Description: tRNA-Gln
Source: RNAcentral